Molecule: ribosomal RNA, 494 nt
Filed under: uncultured bacterium
Lineage: Bacteria
Description: partial 16S ribosomal RNA
Rfam family: Bacterial small subunit ribosomal RNA
Source: RNAcentral
ACGAACGCUGGCGGCGUGCCUCAUCCCUGCAAGUAGAACGCUGAAGGAGGAGCUUGCUUCUCUGGAUGAGUUGCGAACGGGUGAGUAACGCGUAGGUAACCUGCCUGGUAGCGGGGGAUAACUAUUGGAAACGAUAGCUAAUACCGCAUAAUAGUAGAUGUUGCAUGACAUUUGCUUAAAAGGUGCAAUUGCAUCACUACCAGAUGGACCUGCGUUGUAUUAGCUAGUUGGUGGGGUAACGGCUCACCAAGGCGACGAUACAUAGCCGACCUGAGAGGGUGAUCGGCCACACUGGGACUGAGACACGGCCCAGACUCCUACGGGAGGCAGCAGUAGGGAAUCUUCGGCAAUGGACGGAAGUCUGACCGAGCAACGCCGCGUGAGUGAAGAAGGUUUUCGGAUCGUAAAGCUCUGUUGUAAGAGAAGAACGAGUGUGAGAGUGGAAAGUUCACACUGUGACGGUAUCUUACCAGAAAGGGACGGCUAACUACGUG